AGUCUCUUGUGUUUUAAUAAGAGAUGUUUUCUGCUCAAUGUUUGUUAAAUAGCCGCGGUAAUUUGACCGUGCGAAGGUAGCAUAAUCAUUUGCCUCAUAAUUGGAGGCUGGAAUGAAUGGGAUUACGAAAGUUUAGCUGUCUUAGCUUUUUUAUUAGAAAUUGUAUUUAAUGUGAAGAUACAUUACUGUUAAAAUAAGACAAGAAGACCCUUUUGAGCUUUACUUUUUAUUAACUUUUUGUUGAUUGUUAGUUUGGUUGGGGCGAUCAAGGAAGAGAUUUUUAUCUUCCUUUAUUUAUGUUGAACCAUGGAUUUUGGGUUAUAGAUUGAGUUACCAAAGGGAUAACAGCGUAAUUUUUUUUUAGAGUUCUUAUUAAAAAAAAAGAUUGCGACCUCGAUGUUGACUUAUAGUUUCCUUUAGGUGCAGUAGCUUUAAGGGUAGGUCUGUUCGACCUUUAAUACUUU
Molecule: ribosomal RNA, 464 nt
Filed under: Prosorhochmus nelsoni
Lineage: Eukaryota; Metazoa; Nemertea; Enopla; Monostilifera; Prosorhochmidae
Description: partial 16S ribosomal RNA
Rfam family: Bacterial large subunit ribosomal RNA
Source: RNAcentral